GGGGAGGGGCCGGAGCGUCAUCCGCGUGAGCCGCGUCAUCCGCGUGAGCCGCGUCAUAAUGCCGACCAAUCAGAGCAGACUGGGCUUUUCAGGAGGGGGGUCUUAAAGAGACAGGCGCUAAAACCGAGCGAUUCAGACAGAGGUUGAAAAGAGGUGCUCAGCUAUAGGCAGUGUGAGAAAAAUAAUGUGUUUUUUGAAUUGUAGGAGAGCCACAAAAUACAAUUAUGAACCUGAAAAAGGGGCAUAAUAUGACUCCUUUAAGUACAAUCAACUUAUCCGGGUUUACAGUGUAAUCAGGAUUUGCUAGAUUUGAGUUUUGGCCUGUGAGAACCAAAGCUUACCUCUUUGCUCUCAAUGUAUUUUAUGUUAUCAGGAAACCACUGAUAUGACUAAUAAUUGUUUUUGUCCUUACAGAUCAGCGCAGAGUUUAUGCGACUGGUUUCAACUGAACUCCACGGGUCUUUCUUUGAUGGACUGGACAAAUAUGUCCCGAGUCUGCUCGAAAUGUACAGAUCGAAGUAGCACCAGUGCAGACCUGUAUACUCUGCUUCAGCCCCUUGACAUACAAACUUCAAAUCAGAAGAGAAGAGCAGUUGCUUUGCUUGGACUUCCAUACUACCUGAAGGAGGAUCCUUCAAGUUUCGUCUUUGUCUGCAAGCCUGGCAGUUCAGAAGAGGAGGUCACAAAAGGAGUGGGCUUCUGAUUCUGCAUUGCCUGAUGGUAGUAAUACCAAAAAGGCCACCCAGUUUUGAAAUUCAAUAAAAUGGCAUUCUGAAUAGUCUUUGAUGUUGAAGAAUAGUUUUUAUGUCGUACUAUAGAUUUAAGUUGUUUGGGAAAAAGAUGCAGUUAAAUUUUUAUUGAAUGAACUUAACAUUGCUACUUAGAUUAACUGUUCUUGGAAAAAGUAACCUGGCUGCCUUAAAAAAACAACAUGCUUAGUUUGAACAACUUUUUUUGUUAGGUUUGUACAACUCAAGAUAUCAUUUCAAGUUUGUUGGUUUUACUGGUCAUUUUAUGUUGUCUAAACUAGGAUUUAGGUUUGUAAAACUUGAAACAUCUUGUUGGUAUCACAAAAACUUAAAACAAACUUAAAAUCUAAAGUUGAUGGGACUAAUUUGACAGCUUCACCUUUGUCACCCCAACUAUUUAUUCUAAGUUUAAGAAACUCUGAUAUAUGUUAAAACAACUUAAGUUACUUAGUUGGCCAAACUCAACAAUUUAAGCCUUAAAUUGUUGUCCAACCUAAAAUUUUAGGCAGCCAGGUUACAUAUUAUUUUAAGUUGAACGUGCCAAUUUUCAGUACAUAACUAAUUACUUAUUAUUUAAAAAAAAAAAACUCUUUUUUUUUGCAUGAUCUGACUUUGAAAUUCGGAAAUGACACUGUUAGUAGGCGAUCAUAUGCUGUCUGAAAAUGGAUGUAAAACUUCCUGUCCGAAGGUUGUAAAUGAUGAUGUAAAUUAUAAUUUUUUUAUUCUC
Dicentrarchus labrax (European seabass) is the source of this 1476-nucleotide long non-coding RNA. RefSeq lists it as uncharacterized. The transcript has 3 exons. Lineage: Eukaryota; Metazoa; Chordata; Actinopteri; Moronidae. The record is from RefSeq and is a predicted model, not a curated record.